Molecule: ribosomal RNA, 254 nt
Filed under: uncultured Pseudomonas sp.
Lineage: Bacteria; Pseudomonadati; Pseudomonadota; Gammaproteobacteria; Pseudomonadales; Pseudomonadaceae
Description: partial 16S ribosomal RNA
Rfam family: Bacterial small subunit ribosomal RNA
Source: RNAcentral
CGGACGGGUGAGUAAUGCCUAGGAAUCUGCCUGGUAGUGGGGGACAACGUUUCGAAAGGAACGCUAAUACCGCAUACGUCCUACGGGAGAAUGCAGGGGACCUUCGGGCCUUGCGCUAUCAGAUGAGCCUAGGUCGGAUUAGCUAGUUGGUGAGGUAAUGGCUCACCAAGGCGACGAUCCGUAACUGGUCUGAGAGGAUGAUCAGCCACACUGGAACUGAGACACGGUCCAGACUCCUACGGGAGGCAGCAGCC